UUCUUCACCCCAAGGCCUGGAAAGUUGGGAAGGCCUCUCUAAGCUGGCCGCUCUGAUCAAAAUGUAACCUUGGCAUGUGAGGGACUGGCUCACUACAAAAGCAAUUGUCCCUCUCUUGGUAUUGACACCUCCUCACCAAUUAUUUGGAGUGGACCACACCCACCCUGACUGAAUUGGCCUUGUCAUCACUGAUUCUCCACUUGUAAGAACUUUUUGGGGCUGAGCCCCUCCACCCAACCCAGAGGGGGAUAAUACUGAAGGUACAACUAGCUGGUAGGUCAGAGGUAGACAGCCUUCUUUCCUGCCUCUCACCCCAACCCCCAGAAGACCUGCAGCUGCAUUGAGAUGUCUGAAAGGUGCACCAGGAGGCACUGCUCUUGCCAUGCUGCUACAAUUUUGAUGAGACAAAGCUUAAGGAAAAGGCAAUUUAGGGUGAGCAGAGGACCAUGCUGGUUCAGUGUAUGCUCAAGUUGCAAACCAUGCUGAAAAUAGUCAGUGGACACCAUAAUUGCCUGCAAGCUCUGCAAUUCUGGCUGUAAAGCAAUGUUGGCUCUGAAUCUACUAAUCAGUUGCUGCCAGCAGGAGUGCUGUUCAAGUUUGGAGCAUGUUUUACUAAAACUAUUUUUUCCAGUUUCUGGAUCCAUGGAAGAACUAUGUAGCAAUCACCAAAUACAAGCCUGUCCCGUUAGAGGAAUUCACUGGAGAAUGGAUUAAGAGUCUCUUUACCUACAGAUGAGAGAACACCUAUAACAUUUCCUCUAUUCUGCUUCCCACCAUCAUGCUUUCCAUGGCUCUUUAUAAACAGGAACUGAUGGAGAGAGUCAAAGCUUUAAAUAAGAGUGGCUUAAGUUGCCAGUCAUGUUAGAGACUUCUAGUCAAAUUCUCAUUGCUCUAAUGAAACUCCAAUGACUGCAAUUGGAGUUGCACCUGAUAUACAAUGGUAUAAAGGAGAGAAGAAUCUGGUGCAUUUGGUUAAUUUUUCACAUUAGUUUUGACCUUUUUGUUUGGGAGACACCUGGAUUAAACACCAUCUGAGCAACUAAUAGAGCCUUAGAGGGGAACAGGUUGCAAUUUUGUCCAUGUUGCAAGGGAACAUAGCAGAUGAGUUCUUGGUUUUUGCAUAAGAGUAUCACAGUAUAAAGGGAAGGGACAUGAUAGGGAAACCCCAGACCAUACUGUUUCCAGAAAAAAGGGGGAGUGUCUCCUAUUUCUGUUUGUUCAGACCUACCAGAAAUCUUGGCAGUAAGUACAAAACCUCUACCCGACCUGCAGCCUUCUGGUUCUGUGGAAGGAGCAGUUGUUAAAACGAUAAACUGACACAUUUUAGUAUGCUUUAAUUUAAGCCUCAAUUCUAGAUCAGCUAGUGUCAAUAUUUCAUUUCAAUCAUAGAAAAUGUGAGUGUUAACUGAUUUCAUUUACCGUACCUAUGCACGCUGAAUCACCGACUCGGCCAACCAGUUUAUUAGCGAGUCCCCCAGUGGAUGUUGCACAAGCUACGUUUCCUUCAUUGUCUAUAGCAACGGCACCAACUGUUCCAGGGUCUCUGCCAAGAAUAAUAUUUCACAGAAUUAGGCAGGGUUAAGAAUACUUGCCAAAGCAUGUUGUGUCCAUUCUGCAGGUAGUUUUUACAAAUGUGAGAUUACAACAGUAGUCUACAAUUGAAUGCCAUUAACUUUAAUCUAUCCUCAUGUGACAAUCACUUCAUUUUCAUGUAAUUGUGUUUUUUUUAAUGUAGGGAGUUUCAUUAUGAAAUCCACUAUCCAUUUCAGAUAACAAGCAAUAUGUAACAAUUCUGAUAUAGUAUCAACCUUAUAAUUGAUAGCACAGAUGUCAAACUCUUGGCCUGUUUGAUCUAUUUAUCUGAUCUCCCCACGAUACAUUUUUAUGAUCCAGUAUGAAAGCUUUCAUUUGGAAAGAAUAAAAAAAAUUCC
This is a long non-coding RNA of Mauremys mutica (yellowpond turtle), 1931 nucleotides long. RefSeq lists it as uncharacterized. Lineage: Eukaryota; Metazoa; Chordata; Testudines; Geoemydidae. The transcript is spliced from 3 exons. The record is from RefSeq and is a predicted model, not a curated record.